GGCUGGCCCAAGUGCAGUGGUGUCUACAACAAAUUGAUUACAAGCAGUGGCAGAUUUCUUUGUUCCUUCUCCACUCCCACUGCUUCACUUGACUAGCCUUAA
Molecule: Y RNA, 102 nt
Filed under: Cebus imitator (Panamanian white-faced capuchin)
Lineage: Eukaryota; Metazoa; Chordata; Mammalia; Primates; Cebidae
Description: Y RNA (ENSCCAG00000012075.1)
Rfam family: Y RNA
About the family: Y RNAs are components of the Ro ribonucleoprotein particle (Ro RNP), in association with Ro60 and La proteins. The Y RNAs and Ro60 and La proteins are well conserved, but the function of the Ro RNP is not known.
Source: Rfam by way of RNAcentral